AUUCCGGUGAACCCGUAACCCAAGGACCCGAGGAAGAGAACCGGAGGUGACCCGAUUCAGGAAGACCCGAGAACCCGCGAGACCCAACCCGAUCCUUCAUCCGGUGAUUUUUUUUCCCCAGCAGAAUCAAUGGCGAAUUUCGGUGGAUUUGCUGAGAAAAUCCUUGGGGUAGAAGUUCGACCUCGAAGUUGAUGGCAAAUCCAGGAUGUAAUAAUCAGAGUCACCUUCUGGUAAUGGCAUAGACCUGGCUAAGAGCAAUAGAUGGUAUCUUGGGGAACUGAUGUAACCUUUGUAAUGCUCAAGUUUGCGUUUCCCUUAUUUACCAAAAUGGGGGCGUGACAUAAAGAUCUUGGUGGAGGAUGAGUUGACAGCUUCUAACUAGUAUGUGCCCUACUUUUGUUGAAUAAUGUGCUUGAUGAUAUUUUGGUCUUUUAGAUUUUAUAUUGGAUAUUGGUUUGUCAAUAAUUGUCAUUUGUUUAAAUGGUUAUCUGAAUUGUUUUAUCCUAUUGUACUUUUGUUUUAAAAGAAAGUGAGAUGUUGA
Molecule: long non-coding RNA, 541 nt
Organism: Alnus glutinosa
Lineage: Eukaryota; Viridiplantae; Streptophyta; Magnoliopsida; Fagales; Betulaceae
Exons: 4
Source: RefSeq, a predicted model, not a curated record